Molecule: ribosomal RNA, 549 nt
Filed under: uncultured Ascomycota
Lineage: Eukaryota; Fungi; Ascomycota
Description: eukaryotic LSU rRNA
Rfam family: 5.8S ribosomal RNA (bases 191-344)
Source: RNAcentral
AAGUCUCCGUAGGUGAACCUGCGGAGGGAUCAUUACUGAGAGCGGGCCCCCGGCCCGACCUCCAACCCUUUGUAAUCAAAACCUAUGUUGCCUCGGGGGCGACCCGGCCCCGUCGGGUGUCGGGGCCCCCGGUGGACCAUUCAUUAAAACUCUGCAUCUUUGCGUCGGGUUUAAAAGUUUAAUUGAUUAAAACUUUCAACAACGGAUCUCUUGGUUCUGGCAUCGAUGAAGAACGCAGCGAAAUGCGAUAAGUAAUGUGAAUUGCAGAAUUCAGUGAAUCAUCGAGUUUUUGAACGCACACUGCGCCCCUUGGUAUUCCGGGGGGCAUGCCUGUUCGAGCGUCAUUUCACCAAUCAAGCCUGGCUUGGUAUUGGGCACCGGGGGCGACCCGGGCCUCAAAGUCCGCCGGCUGGAAAGCUCUGAUCUAAGCGUCGUGGUAAACAAUUCGCUGGAGAGAGGGGUGGUCCAUGCCGUGAAACUUCAUUCAAGGUUGACCUCGGAUCAGGUAGGAAUACCCGCUGAACUUAAGCAUAUCAUUAAGCGGAGGAA